This 459-nucleotide ribosomal RNA is filed under the name uncultured bacterium. RNAcentral describes it as "partial 16S ribosomal RNA". It matches the Rfam family "Bacterial small subunit ribosomal RNA", at positions 338 to 795 of the family's 1533-position model. The record is from RNAcentral.
CCUACGGGUGGCAGCAGGGAGGAAUAUUGGUCAAGGGGCGCGAGCCUGAACCAGCCAAGUCGCGUGAGGGAAGACGGUCCUAUGGAUUGUAAACCUCUUUUGUCGGGGAGCAAAAGACGCCACGCGUGGCGUUCCGAGAGUACCCGAAGAAAAAGCAUCGGCUAACUACGUGCCAGCAGCCGCGGUAAUACGGAGGAUGCGAGCGUUAUCCGGAUUUAUUGGGUUUAAAGGGUGCGCAGGCGGAAGAUCAAGUCAGCGGGAAAAUUGAGAGGCUCAACCUCUUCGAGCCGUUGAAACUGGUUUUCUUGAGUGAGUGAGAAGUAUGCGGAAUGCGUGGUGUAGCGGUGAAAUGCAUAGAUAUCACGCAGAACUCCGAUUGCGAAGGCAGCAUACCGGUGCUCAACUGACGCUCAUGCACGAAAGUGUGGGUAUCGAACAGGAUUAGAUACCCCUGUAGUC